Molecule: unclassified non-coding RNA, 1413 nt
Filed under: Hevea brasiliensis (rubber tree)
Lineage: Eukaryota; Viridiplantae; Streptophyta; Magnoliopsida; Malpighiales; Euphorbiaceae
Source: RNAcentral
AUUAUUAUUAUUAUUAUUAUGUGCUUGCUGAUUUUAAUAUUAAGGCUAAUUAUCUAAAAUAUCCUGAAUUUUGCUCCAUUUUUUAAUAUCGCAUUAAGCAUUCAAUCAUAAUCUUAUCUGCUUAAUAGAAGGAGGUUCAAUUGUCACACCAAUUCUUCCUGUUAGCAACUUCUUGAUAAGGAUGAUUGCAUCACAUACAUUUCUUUUAUUUCAUGCUUCCAAUAGUUCCUUUCCAGUUGACUGUUUGAGUGAUCAUUUCUACACUAGAUAUGCACAUAAGUUUCUGGUGAUUAAUCUAAUAAAUUAAAAAGAAAAGGUGUCUCAAUGCACACCUUUUCUACGCAAAGAGACUGCUUCCACGACAGAAACUUGUGACCUUCCGGUCAUAAAAGAGCAAACUCAUCAUUGCAACAAGACUGACUCUCUCAUGUGUUUCUGUCACCUUUCCAUAUUUUUGAUGGUUGCACAUUGCCUGUGAGCUGUGAUGACUAAUGCACAUCAUUUUCACUAGUUGUUAAGAAGACUGUAACAUAUAAACUUAGAUUUAGUCCUGCUUUUAGGCAUUUGGUAGCUGGCAUGUAUUUGGGUUGUUCUUAUAAGCAAUUCCAAAUUGUCAGAGGUUGUUCUAUCCUACCUAACCUAAAUCUUUAAGCUCAAACAGACCAUAAAAUAUGGAUCUCCCACGUGAUUAGGAUAUGAGAAUGUUAUAUUAGCAACAUGAUUGGGGAAACAGCUCCUGUUUUGACUCAGUUUUAAAGGAAAAAGAAAUCUCUUAAACAUACAAGUUAUUGAAUUCCAAAUUUCUAUUUUUGCCAUUUUCUUUAAAUUUUUUUAGAAGCAUAUAGGAGGAUAUGGAAUUCUUUUAAAAGCACAUAAUUUUCUUAAGUAAAAUAAUGUUGGUUUAGAACCUUAGAGCCAUUUUACAAAGUCAAAUGUUUGAUACACCAGAUAAUGAACUCUUUGGAGUCAAUAAUUAAAAUUUCCCUGUAAUAUGUUGGCAGGUAUUGGAAGUAAUGCAAGAGGGGGAAAUGGACAAAGAAAGGUGGAAAAUGCCAAUGGAAGAAGAACAAGAAGAAGAAUUCUGGGGAUUUGAAGAUCUAGAAUGUGAAUGUGAUAGCUCCUUCUCAAUUUCUCCACACGAUUCAAUCUCGACAAAAAGUUCUUUAACCGUGAUGCAUUAGGGAAGCAGCCAUAUUUUACCAGCACGGAAUUGCAGAUGAGGUCUCGAGUUCUAGUCUCAGACCGUCUUUAAAGAAAAGAAAAGACUUGUAAUGCAUUAGGUGCUCAAGUAAAUCCUGACCAACGCAUUAUGCGGCUUGUAAAUACAUCAUAUAUGUUACAUAAAAGAAGUCUUUUUAGUUGCAAUCCUCAUUGAUUUAUGCAUGACAUGAUUUUACUGCUUUUAGAACUUGA